GGAAACAGUUACAGGUGCCUCAAUCCUCUGAGCUUACUCUGUAUUGCGUCCUGAGCUUUGUGUUCCGCAGCUACCCCAACAGCCACCCCACCUUCUCAGCUCCCUGAAUAGUGACAUGUGUCCCCCGUCACCCUUCUUGAUCUCUCAGGUCUUAGCUUAUGAGGAUUUUCUCAGAGAAGUUCUCCCUGACCCUCUAGAUUAGUUCCAUUGUUAAAGCAGACUCUCCCACAAGAACUGUGUUUCUUUCUUUGAGAGCAGUGAUCUUGGAGAGUAUUUCAUUUAUGCCAUUCAUUUCAUUUAUACUGUCUACCUCUAGACAGUAAACUCUAUGAACAGAAAGAAAGCAAGACUCUUUGAUCAUCACUGAUUUCCCGGAGUCCAGCAGUGUGACCGGAGGCAGUGCUGAGCAAAUAUUUGCUAAGUAGAUGAAUGAAACAUUUGAUGCUGCUGAUAAGGACUCCCUGCUUCCCUUAGCCAUUAAUACCUGUGCCACUUUUCUUCCCUCUCACGUACUGUGAACAAAUUUGAUUCAAAGACAUUGUAACUGGGGAAGGACAGCGUGACUUACUAUUAAGUCACCACUACCUUGCGACUAUCUUGUGAAGGCAUUUGGGCAUAACCCAAGCUGCUGCAGUUGCUUUUGGAAGCCCGGGGCAAGGAAGAGCGGAAGGUUGCUUCUGGGCAUGCGCGGCACAGGCGUACAGAGAGAGAAACCCACCCGUGCCUGCUCGCUUCUAUGUCCUUGGUGGAAACUCAUUCCGAAUUUAAAGAAAGCUGUGGGUGCUCCAGUUAGCUACAUUAUUCCCAAGUUUAAGUUCAGACAUAAUUCUUACUAGAUUGUCCUGACACCAAAACCCUGGGCGAAGGAACGCCUGCGCGCGUGAGCUUGCGUGUCUAGUUGGCUCAAGAAUUCCACUGAAGUGGAGGCUCCGCCAUUUGAACUUCCCUCUACCCACAGACACUCAGCACCCACAAAGAUGUAUGAGAACUGUCCAGACCAAGAGUGGGAGUUAGGGAACCUCUGGGCUGUAUGAAGUUUCUGCUCUGUGCAGCUCUGAGUUACAGAGGUGCGGAAGAGGCUGAAAAGAUAGAAGAACCAAAUGAAGGGCUUCUACUCUCUCAUUCAGUAAAGACUGACAACCAGACCAUCAUGACUUGCUUUAGAAAGACAACGCAAGGGACCUUGUCCAGGAGAACAGGGAGCACUGUGUUCUGGUUUGGGGGCACAUUGGGAUGAAGAAAUCUCCACAAGUCGUUUCAGGGUCAAGUGGCCUUUUUGGCUUUCCUCCAUGCAACCUGCCCAUGUUAGAUUGUAACAUUCAAUGAAAUAGAGAGAGAAAGGAUUCCCUUAUUAAAGACUAUAAAGUAGUUUCAGAAUAAUGACUAUGUUUCCUAGUCUCCCUAGAUGUGCACAGGUGACUAAUUCUGGCUAAUGGAAUAUGAUUGGAAAUGGCAUGUGCAAUUUCUGGGAAAUGUCUCUAAAGUGCAAGGCACAUCCUUCUUUACUCCUUGUUGGAGUGGCACAAGAUGAAGAAGCUGGCCAAAGUGGAGGAGCAUGGCAGCCCAGCUCUGCAUCCUGCCUAGUCGGAGGAAACAGACCUUUAUUUUUACCUAUGCCACUGUUAUUUUGUUUUCUGAUGUUUGCCUCUGAACCUUAAGCGAGAUGCUUAAGCAAGAUGGUCAGUCAAGGCCAAAUCCCCAGGAGCUUUCGUAAGCUAUCCUAGUACCCAGGAUUUGGCUUUGCAGGUGGUGGUACUCCAUGAGAGUGAUUUAAAAGACACAGUGACAUGGCCAUCCACGUACUUAAGAUUUCCCCGGCUAUAGGUACAGACUGGAUCUAGGGGAGGAGAGAGGCAAGGGAAUCUAAAAGAAGCAGUCAUUUCUUGCUUGGGCUGUUCAGGAGGACACUGAAAAGGAGGAAAGAGUACCUCCAAGGAAGUGCUACCAUCAGCUCCUGCCUGCACAAGAGAGAGGUGGUCAGCACCCAGAGGGGGAGAUGGGCAGCCUCUGCAGCUAACCAUUGUCAAUGCCGUGUGUCUGGAGUGUUUUCUGCAGAACCAGUUGUUCCUUCCCCUCUGGAUUUCUACACCCGAUCUUAAACUUUAAACAAACAAAUCCUUCUCCACAGAGCUUUCUGAAACACUGUUGCUGUGACAGAGAAGAAAACAUGACGACAAUCACGGUGCCUGGAUGAAAAUCUCUUAGUUUUGACAGAUUGCAGGCUCCGGGAAGGCAAGAACCAAUUCUUAGACAUCUUUCUAUCCCCAUUCUAUUUUUAUUGGCUAAAUACCUACUGUCUGAAUUAAUACAUGAGUGGAGAUAUUUGGGGAUAUUCUGCAGGAAAGAAAUGUAGGAAACCAGUGCACUGCUUACAAACGCUAUUUCAGCUGAAGAAAUGGACUGCAAACUCACAGAAUGUACAGUGGAGGCCCUUUUAACAAAACUCCACCUAGCCCAGGCCCCAGCUUCACGGACACCAUUGCUCUCUCUGUCAACACAGCCAGGCUGCUCACGGCAGCCCAAAGAAUCCUCACACUCUGAAGCUAACUCUAGAACUCUCCCAGACUUUUCCUUAUAUCUAUUUAUUUUAACCAAACUUGGAAUUACAAUGAUGUCAUUUCAUUAAAUAUUCCAGAACACCAUAGGCUGAGGGCAGAAGAGUCAUUUCUCUAAAAUCUCUUUUAAAAGGAGUUGUUCCUCUUUGCAUUUAGAAAGUUUUGUCAAGAUUGAAUAGACAGGGAUGGUAAAAAUGGCGGCCAAAGGAGUUGUGAGGGAGACAAGUGUAAGUAAGGAGAAGAGUCAUGACAACUUCGAAGGGUCUGCCUUCAGAUUGUUUUGCAUGUCCAAAUCUAAAGAAAACGGAAGCUUGAAUUUAUAGAUACAUAGUUGGAAUGUGGCUCAUGCAAGAAAGACGACUUAGAACUCCAACCAAUAGUUUCACUUUCAAAAAAAAAAAAAAAGGCCUUGGUCCUUCAUGAAAAUGUUAGUGAACGAAUAUACGUGUACAUGUUUUAAGUUAAAACUAAAAGUUUGAGGAAAGUAUUUUUAAGAUUUUAUUUAUUUAUUUGAGAGAGAGAGCCUAGAGGGUGAGGGAGAGGGCUGACUUGUUGGACAAGUGACCUCAGAGACCCCUCACUCCCUUGGCUCAGGGAGGGAGAAAGAGGUGACCGUCCUGAACAGUUGCAGAGGUGCUAAAGGAAUGAGAAGCUUGAAGUUGGGGUGUGGAGGACACAGGUGCACCGCCUUCCUGACCGAAGGCUGUGGAAGAGACCACAGGUGUCGGCAACCAUUGCAGCACAGGGGACAUGAGGCACGUGUGCCUGUUUCUCAGCGGACACCAAUGAUGAGGAGGGAUAAGCUGUAGCUAAAAGACGCAAGGCUGGGCUGGGAGGAGACAGCGUUGACCCAGACGCCAGGUGAGCCUCUUGGCUGGGUGAAAGACUGUUUCGUUUGACCAAAUAUCCACUUCAAAGAGCAAACCUCACGGAGCGACUGUUCCCUCCUCAACUCCCGUAAUACACGUUCUCGGUCUCGACUGGAGUUGGGGGUCUCACGAGAGUUACCUCCAAAUUUAAGGCCACCUCAUGUUCUAAAAUAGCUGCUGGAGUACCAGUGCUUAGCCACAAGACCAGAGGAAGAGAGACACAGCAGGAG
Molecule: long non-coding RNA, 3654 nt
Organism: Mustela erminea (ermine)
Lineage: Eukaryota; Metazoa; Chordata; Mammalia; Carnivora; Mustelidae
Exons: 10
Source: RefSeq, a predicted model, not a curated record